This 464-nucleotide ribosomal RNA is filed under the name uncultured bacterium. RNAcentral describes it as "partial 16S ribosomal RNA". It matches the Rfam family "Bacterial small subunit ribosomal RNA", at positions 28 to 507 of the family's 1533-position model. The record is from RNAcentral.
GACGAACGCUGGCGGCGUGCUUAACACAUGCAAGUCGAACGGAAAGGCCCAGCUUGCUGGGUGCUCGAGUGGCGAACGGGUGAGUAACACGUGGGUGAUCUGCCUCUAACUUCGGGAUAAGCUUGGGAAACUGGGUCUAAUACCGGAUAGGACAAUCGUUUAGUGUCGGUUGUGGAAAGUUUUUUCGGUUAGGGAUGAGCCCGCGGCCUAUCAGCUUGUUGGUGGGGUAAUGGCCUACCAAGGCGUCGACGGGUAGCCGGCCUGAGAGGGUGGACGGCCACAUUGGGACUGAGAUACGGCCCAGACUCCUACGGGAGGCAGCAGUGGGGAAUAUUGCACAAUGGGCGCAAGCCUGAUGCAGCGACGCCGCGUGGGGGAUGACGGCCUUCGGGUUGUAAACCUCUUUCGACAGGGACGAAGCUUUGGUGACGGUACCUGGAUAAGAAGCACCGGCUAACUACGUG